GGUAUGUAGCUCAGUGGUAGAGUGCAUGCUUAAUGAGUAAGGCACUGGGUUCAACUCCCAGUACCA
RNAcentral lists this transfer RNA (66 nucleotides) under Heterocephalus glaber (naked mole-rat). It matches the Rfam family "tRNA". From Rfam's summary of the family: Transfer RNA (tRNA) molecules are approximately 80 nucleotides in length. Their secondary structure includes four short double-helical elements and three loops (D, anti-codon, and T loops). Lineage: Eukaryota; Metazoa; Chordata; Mammalia; Rodentia; Bathyergidae. The record is from Rfam by way of RNAcentral.